UGGGGAAUAUUGGACACUGGGCGAAAGCCUGAUCCAGCCAUGUCGCGUGUGUGAAGAAGGUCUUCGGAUUGUAAAGCACUUUAAGUUGGGAGGAAGGGCAGUAAGCGAAUACCUUGCUGUUUUGACGUUACCGACAGAAUAAGUACCGGCUAACUCUGUGCCAGCAGCCGCGGUAAUACAGAGGGUGCAAGCGUUAAUCGGAUUUACUGGGCGUAAAGCGCGCGUAGGCGGCUAAUUAAGUCAAAUGUGAAAUCCCCGAGCUUAACUUGGGAAUUGCAUUCGAUACUGGUUAGCUAGAGUGUGGGAGAGGAUGGUAGAAUUCCAGGUGUAGCGGUGAAAUGCGUAGAGAUCGGGAGGAAUACCGAUGGCGAAGGCAGCCAUCUGGCCUAACACUGACGCUGAGGUGCGAAAGCAUGGGGAGCAAACAGG
RNAcentral lists this ribosomal RNA (429 nucleotides) under Pseudomonadota bacterium. RNAcentral's name for it is "Proteobacteria bacterium partial 16S ribosomal RNA". It matches the Rfam family "Bacterial small subunit ribosomal RNA", at positions 355 to 776 of the family's 1533-position model. Lineage: Bacteria; Pseudomonadati; Pseudomonadota. The record is from RNAcentral.